RNAcentral lists this ribosomal RNA (429 nucleotides) under Bacteroidota bacterium. Its description in RNAcentral is "Bacteroidetes bacterium partial 16S ribosomal RNA". It matches the Rfam family "Bacterial small subunit ribosomal RNA", at positions 355 to 776 of the family's 1533-position model. Lineage: Bacteria; Pseudomonadati; Bacteroidota. The record is from RNAcentral.
UAGGGAAUCUUCCGCAAUGGGCGAAAGCCUGACGGAGCAACGCCGCGUGAGUGAUGAAGGUCUUCGGAUCGUAAAACUCUGUUAUUAGGGAAGAACAAAUGUUUAAGUAACUAUGCACAUCUUGACGGUACCUAAUCAGAAAGCCACGGCUAACUACGUGCCAGCAGCCGCGGUAAUACGUAGGUGGCAAGCGUUAUCCGGAAUUAUUGGGCGUAAAGCGCGCGUAGGCGGUUUUUUAAGUCUGAUGUGAAAGCCCACGGCUCAACCGUGGAGGGUGAUUGGAAACUGGAAAACUUGAGUGCAGAAGAGGAAAGUGGAAUUCCAUGUGUAACGGUGAAAUGCGCAGAGAUAUGGAGGAACACCAGUGGCGAAGGCGACUUUCUGGUCUGUAACUGACGCUGAUGUGCGAAAGCGUGGGGAUCAAACAGG